GACGUCGUGUCCGAGCGGGUAAUGGAACAUGCUCACGCGCAGUACGCGUGAGUUCGAUUCCCACUGAGGUCA
Phytophthora infestans T30-4 is the source of this 72-nucleotide non-coding RNA. NCBI's taxonomy places the organism in Eukaryota, Oomycota, Peronosporomycetes, Peronosporales, Peronosporaceae. The record is from the annotation of a RefSeq genome assembly.